GACGGCCCGAAUCCGGUGAUCCGUGGUGCCGAGAAAAGCUUCGGCGUCAGGCGCGUUGCCGCCCGUACCCCAAACCGACACUGGUGGUCAGGUAGAGAAUACCAAAGCGAUCGAGCGAAUCCUGGUCAAGGAACUCGGCAAAUUGCUCCCGUGCCUUCGGCAUAAGGGAGACCCCCUGCGGUGAUGAGCGGCGGGGGGUGGCACAGGCCAGGGGGUAGCGACUGUUUACCAAAAACACAGGAGCGUGCGAAGGCGCAAGCCGCUGUAUACGCUCUGACGCCUGCCCGGUGCCGGAAGGUUAAGAGGAUCCGUCAGCUUUCUGCGAAGCGGUGAAUUCAAGCCCCGGUAAACGGCGGUGGUAACGAUAACCAUCCUAAGGUAGCGAAAUUCCUUGUCGGGUAAGUUCCGACCUGCCCGAAUGGCGUAACGACUUCCCCACUGUCUCGACCAGGAGCUCGGCGAAAUUGCAGUACGAGUAAAGAUGCUCGUUAAGCGCAGAAGGACGAAAAGACCCCGGGACCUUUACUAUACCUUGGUAUUGGCAUUAGGCGCGGAUUGUGUAGCAUAGGCGGGAGGCUUCGAGGCGGGUGCGCCAGCAUCCGCGGAGCCGCAAGGUGAAAUACCGCUCUGUUCUCGUUUGAUGUCUAACCUCGAACAGUCAUCCUGUUCAGGGACAGUGCCUGGCGGGUAGUUCAACUGGGGCGGUUGCCUCCCAAAGAGUAACGGAGGCGCUCAAAGGUCCGCUCGGCCCGGUUGGCAAUCGGGUGUCGAGUGUAAUCGCACAAGCGGGCUUGACUGCGAGAUCGACGGAUCGAGCAGGGACGAAAGUCGGAGAUAGUGAUCCGGUGCCGGCGCACGGGCGCGGCAUCGCUCAACGGAUAAAAGGUACCCCGGGGAUAACAGGCUGAUCAUUCCCAAGAGUCCAUAUCGACGGGAUGGUUUGGCACCUCGAUGUCGGCUCGUCGCAUCCUGGGGCUGGGGCAGGUCCCAAGGGUUCGGCUGUUCGCCGAUCAAAGCGGCACGCGAGCUGGGUUCAGAACGUCGUGAGACAGUUUGGUCUCUAUCCUCUGCGCUCGUUGGAAUCUUGAGGAGGCCUGCCCAUAGUACGAGAGGACCUGGGUGGACGAACCUCUGGUAUGCCGGUCGUCACGCCAGUGGCGCGGCCGGUUGGCUACGUUCGGAAGGGAUAACCGCUGAAAGCAUCUAAGCGGGAAGCCUUCUCCAAGAUAAGGAUUCCAUGCGGCCCCGAGCCGCUGAAGACCCCAUGCAGAACACGUGGUCGAUAGGCCGGACGUGGAAGCCCCGCGAGGGGUGGAGCCGACCGGUACUAAUGGUCGAGACC
This 1342-nucleotide ribosomal RNA is filed under the name metagenome. RNAcentral's name for it is "bacterial LSU rRNA". It matches the Rfam family "Bacterial large subunit ribosomal RNA", at positions 1580 to 2914 of the family's 2925-position model. The record is from RNAcentral.